CAGCUUCUGGGUUGGGCUCUGAGCAGGGACGGGCUGGCAUGUGACUGUGACUCAGAAGCCUGAGAAGUAGGCACAGAGCACAUUGGCCCUUUCCUGUCCCACCACCGCUUCAUGAGCUUCCAGCAAGAGAAGCAGAGAAUAACAGGGCCCGUCUCAGGCUGGCUCUCCUCUGUUGCUGAAGGCAGAGUCCAAAAUGAGGGAACUUCUUAGGACCAUGGUCAUAGGUCCUGUAUGGCUGCUGUGGUCUUGAGAAGAGCAGGUACUCUGCAUCUGUUUUGGAGCUUGCUCAGAAUGGGUCUCAUGCCAUCCAGGCUGACCUCACAUUUGCUGUGUACCCAAGGAUAAACUUCAAUUUCUGAUUCUCUUGCCUCCACCUCUGGAGUACCGGGAUUACAGGUAUGUGUCACCAUGCCCGGGUUUAUGAUGGGCUGGACUUUGUGCUAGACAAGCACUCUACCUACUGAGCUGUGCAUGUCUUAAAUCUUCCAGAAAAACCUCAGGGUUUCGAUGUUUUAAAGAUUUUUACUUAAAAAUUUUACUUUUGUGUUUGACUGCAUGUAUGUGUACCAAGUACAUGCUUACUGACCUUGGAAGCCAGAAAGAGGAUGUCAGAUCCCCUGGAUGGUUACAGAUGGUUUUGAGCUGCUAUGUGGGUGCUGGGAGUCAAACUCAGGUCCUCUGCAAGAGUACCGAGUACCCUUAACCCCUGAGCCAUCUCCCUGUCCCGUUUCUAUUAUUUUAAAUUGUAUGUGCCUGAGUGCAGCGCCGCUUUCCAGCCAGGUUCCAAUGUUUUGGAUGUCAACCCCACAUUUCUAUAUAUGUCAAGAAUUGUGCAGCCAGGCAUUGGUGGCGCACACCUUUAGUCCCAGCACUGGGGAGGCAGAGGCAGGCGGGUCUCUGUGAGUUUGAGGCCAGCCUGGUCUUCAAAGAGAGUUCCAAGACAGUCUCCAAGCCUACAGAGAAACCCUGUCUCAAAAAAACAAACAAACAAAAAAACCCAACCAAACAAAAAAAAGAUGUGUACCAACACCACCCAAUUAUUAAACAAAAGCAAAUAGCUGUGCAAAGUACAACUGCUCUAGAGAAAGCCUCCAAAGCAAUAAAAAUUAUGCUUGCUUAAAAAAAAAAAAGAAUUGUGGAGCUCAGGGCUGGAGAGAUGCUUCAGUAGUUAAGAACACACACUGCUCUUACAGAGGACCCAAACUAAGUUCCCAGCACCCAUGUCAGGCAGCUCACAAUCACCUGCAACCUCAGCUUCAGGGGCUCUGGCCACUGCUGACACCUGUAUGCACUCACAUACCCACACAUAGACGAAAUUUAAAAAUAAAAUAAACCUUGAAGAAUUGUGGAACUUACACUUUUUUUUUUCUCUCCCCUGUAUCUGUGUCCCUCUUGUUUCUUUCACAACCUUUUGAGGCCAUUAGGUAGCUAGUAUGGGCCAUAAGGUGUCCUACCAGAGGG
Molecule: long non-coding RNA, 1461 nt
Filed under: Cricetulus griseus (Chinese hamster)
Lineage: Eukaryota; Metazoa; Chordata; Mammalia; Rodentia; Cricetidae
Description: lncRNA (ENSCGRG00015039609.1)
Source: RNAcentral